This 432-nucleotide ribosomal RNA is filed under the name uncultured bacterium. Its description in RNAcentral is "partial 16S ribosomal RNA". It matches the Rfam family "Bacterial small subunit ribosomal RNA", at positions 338 to 795 of the family's 1533-position model. The record is from RNAcentral.
CCUACGGGAGGCUGCAGUGGGGAAUUGUUCGCAAUGGGCGCAAGCCUGACGACGCAACGCCGCGUGGAGGAUGAAGAUUUUCGGAUCGUAAACUCCUGUCGAGUGGGAAGCGGUACCACUAAAGGAAGCCCCGGCUAACUCCGUGCCAGCAGCCGCGGUAAUACGGGGGGGGCAAGCGUUGUUCGGAAUUACUGGGCGUAAAGGGCUCGUAGGCGGCCAACUAAGUCGGAUGUGAAAUCCCCAGGCUCAACCUGGGAACUGCAUCCGAUACUGGAUGGCUUGAAUUCGGGAGAGGGAUGCAGAAUUCCAGGUGUAGCGGUGAAAUGCGUAGAUAUCUGGAGGAAUACCGGUGGCGAAGGCGGCAUCCUGGACCGAAUUGACGCUGAGGAGCGAAAGCUAGGGGAGCAAACGGGAUUAGAUACCCUAGUAGUC